UUUAUGCCACAAAGUUUCUAGGCAGUAGGUCUGCUUCUACUUAGGCUGAUUUCUAAGCUUUGAAUUUUUGCGCAAUAAAAGCAGAAUGUCGAAGCUCCUUAACUGUUUAGAACAAAAGUCCCUGCUCAACAAGUUGCAGAAUGAAAAGUAGAAGAAAAGAAGUGUGAAAUUAUGGAUGUAUAAGAUGGACAAGUAGAACGCAACUCAGAUCCUGACUCACUUUUAGAACGAUCACCAACAAAGAGCCACUCAAUUAGCAGACUGUAAUAUGAGAGAUAAAUAAAACUUUUGGAGGUAAAUCCAUGGAUAUUCCAGGAUUUAGGUGUUGCAGAAGUGGAGUCAAGUGAAGCACUUGUUCCUGAAGUGAUGUCAAAAGAGAGUGACCAGCCGGAUAAUGUAUAAAGAAGAUAUAGUAUUUUAUAAGGCCAUUAUGGCUCUAGACACUGUCUUUCAUUUGUGCAGGUUCAAGCUCAGAGGCACCAACAAAACAUCCAUGCACAAACUUAUAAUGUAAGAUAUUGAUUUAUUAGCUUCUAAUGAAAUAUGUUUUUAUUAACUAAGAGAUUGAUACAUAAAACAAAUCUUGAUACUUUAAGCAAGAAAUUUCCUUGUAGUGAAUAGCUUUACUAGAAAUAAAUUUAUUAUUCAAGAUAGUGGUUUGUGAACAUAGGAUUGUAAGUGAGAAGAUGUCAAUUAAGUUAGUUGUCUCUAUUAAUUGACUGUGCUGGUGUUGCAGUAGUUUUUCAGAAUUAACAUAACUAAUUGAAAGCAAAAACAUCUCUCCAAACAUCUCUGAGAAAAUGAUACAUUACUGUCUAAUUUUCCACCUUCUUUUCUAUGUUUCCUCCAGUUUAUAUUAUUAUUUCAGUUAGGUACAAUACAACUGAUUGAUGUAGAACUUCUUUUGUACUGUUUAUAAUCUUCUCCUUGGAACAUAAACUGCUAUUGCUUUUAUCAGAAGAAGCCUUACUCCUACAAGUAACACACAAACCACACACCUAGGUAAUUCUUUUAUGUAAAAAGUUAAUCUGAUGUAUUGAAUGUUCUCUUUAAAUUUCAAUUCCAGACAUCUAUUUUCCUGAUAUAUUUUACCAAUUUUGGGGAGUGUGCUCUAUACUAAUUGUUUUUAAGUAUAAUGAUGAUCAGCAUAAGAGUUAUUAUUAAUAUCCGCUAGCUGUGAGAUUUGUCUUGGAAAAUAAUACUUCUCAUUUGUAGAUCAGUUUUUCCCAGAACACAUUAUGUUGCAUAUUAGAUAAGAAAACAGUGCCUCUGCAGCAAAUUACAAAAGUCAGAGCAAGAGAGCUAGGGGAGUUGAGAAUCAGUACCUCAGAAAGAAACUUUGCUAGAAUUGUACCUUAUUUGUUUGAAGACCUAUUUCUUAUGUUGGGGAUGGGGAUGAGGAUGGGAAGCAUAAAUAGACACCGCUUGACAUCAGUGUCUGUAAUCUCAAAACUGAAAAACUAAAGUAUCAGUGAAAAAAUUUCUUCAGUUAUUCAUGGUGUUAGAGUAUUUGAAAAGCAAUAGAAAUAAAAAUGUUAAGGUAUUGGUUUUAGAUUUGUUGGGAGGUGAUUCUUCCUGAAUAGAGAGGCAUUGAUAUCCUUUGUUCUGAACCAUCUUUUCGAGAAUAUUUGUGUAGUACUUACUAUACUUUUAUUUAAACAUUCUCUCCACUAUGAUAAUAAAGAUAAUGUCUCCCUCAAGAGCAAAGGUUGAAAACCAAAGGAGAAAAAAAGAAAUGUUUAUUAUGUAUCCUUAAGGUUCUGUUUUUUAUUUUUGUGUUUAUUGUUAUCAGGUUUCCAUGUAACAGAGUAUUUUCGAGUGUGAGGCUUGACAAUGGCUCCAUGGAUUUAAUGUAUGCAUUCUCCUCUGCCUGGCUAUCACACACUAGAGAGAGGGAACACAAUGAUAUGCUCCCUCAGUUUUAUAAGUUUCUAAGCAUUGCCACAGCAUAAUUAUAAAGUAUAUGCUGAUACUCUUUAGGGGAACCAUGGUGGUGUCAUGACCAUGUGAACUCCCCAUGCAGGUAUUCAGUUCCCCUUCUUUCAACUCCCAGCUUUAACUUACCCUCCUGGCUUUAGAAAGCAGAACUUAAAAACUGAUGAGUAGGUAAUGCAAAAUUACAAUCAUUACAUUUUAGAUUUGAAAGACAUCAUGGAGAGCUUCUAAUCUUAUCACUCCAUUUUAUAAAGAGGGAGUAAAUUGAUCAGAAUUGCUAAGAAGAUGCUAGUCAGUUGUGAAAUC
RNAcentral lists this long non-coding RNA (2241 nucleotides) under Homo sapiens (human). Its description in RNAcentral is "HSALNT0352832". Lineage: Eukaryota; Metazoa; Chordata; Mammalia; Primates; Hominidae. The record is from RNAcentral.